CUGUAGACUACGAGUUGAUCAUGGCUACAGGACGAACGCUGGCGGCGUGCUUCAUACAUGCAAGUCGAACGAGAAGUCACCUUCGGGUGAUGGAAAGUGGCGGACGGGUGAGUAAUGUGUAGAGAAUCUGCCCUUGAGUGGGGGACAACAGUUGGAAACGACUGCUAAUACCGCAUAAGCGCACGGUAUCGCAUGAUACAGUGUGAAAAACUCCGGUGGUAUAAGAUGGACCCGCGUCUGAUUAGCUUGUUGGUGAGGUAACGGCCCACCAAGGCGACGAUCAGUAGCCGGCCUGAGAGGGUGAACGGCCACAUUGGGACUGAGACACGGCCCAAACUCCUACGGGAGGCAGCAGUGGGGAAUAUUGCACAAUGGGGGAAACCCUGAUGCAGCGACGCCGCGUGAGUGAAGAAGUAUUUCGGUAUGUAAAGCUCUAUCAGCAGGGAAGAAGAAAUGACGGUACCUGACUAAGAAGCCCCGGCUAACUACGUG
Molecule: ribosomal RNA, 492 nt
Filed under: uncultured bacterium
Lineage: Bacteria
Description: bacterial SSU rRNA
Rfam family: Bacterial small subunit ribosomal RNA
Source: RNAcentral